AUUUAUUGGGAUUGGGUUUUUCGGGGUCGGACCGGAGCGUGGCGCUCGCGUCACGUUCUCCGGGCACGUACUCUCGCAGCGGAAGGGGCAACACUGUAUUUACCUGGAAAACCCCGACGUACCGGCUCGUCUCCCGAUAUUUAUGCAGUAUACGCCAACGGACGGAUUGUUCGCAACUUUUGAGCGAAUUACCAACGAGUUCAGCGCGCGUAUCCCGUUUUGAAAAUAAUAAAAAGGUCGUGAG
Non-coding RNA from Cinara cedri, 244 nucleotides. The record is from the annotation of a GenBank genome assembly. NCBI's taxonomy places the organism in Eukaryota, Metazoa, Arthropoda, Insecta, Hemiptera, Aphididae.